Molecule: unclassified non-coding RNA, 224 nt
Filed under: plant metagenome
Description: partial contains small subunit ribosomal RNA, internal transcribed spacer 1, and 5.8S ribosomal RNA
Source: RNAcentral
UCUCCGUUGGUGAACCAGCGGAGGGAUCAUUACAGGACUCGCAAGACUCCUUCACCCUGUGAACCUCACUACAAACACGUUGCUUCGGCGGGUGUCCCGGCGGGGGUUUUCCCUCGCCGGGGAGCACAGCCCGCCGGCAGCCUACUAUACUCUGUCUCUGUGCGUUGGCAUCCCGAGAAAAAACAAACAAGUUAAAACUUUCAACAACGGAUCUCUUGGUUCUG